RNAcentral lists this long non-coding RNA (2132 nucleotides) under Anolis carolinensis (green anole). RNAcentral's name for it is "lncRNA (ENSACAG00000042990.1)". Lineage: Eukaryota; Metazoa; Chordata; Lepidosauria; Squamata; Anolidae. The record is from RNAcentral.
UGUUUUUCCAUCUCUCACUUUUUCUGCACCAUUUCUUCACAUAUGUUGAAGCAUACAAUCCCAAAAGCACUAAUUCAUAGUUUCAUAUGGAUGUUUCACAUGGAAGACUGGAAGUUUUAAUUUUCAUUUAGACCAAACACAACAAUUUAACAUUCAGUUUGAGUGGGAAGGAUAGACCUAGCCAGUGAUUCUCAACCUGUGGCUCCCCAGGUGUUUUGGCCUACAACUCCCAGAAAUCCCAGCCAGUUUACCAGAUGUUAGGAUUUCGGGAAGUUUGAGGCCAAAACAUCUGGGGGCCCACAGGCUGAGAACCACUGGCCUACACUCUCUUUUAAAAGCUAAAUGGCUCUUCUGCCCAAUCUUUGCUUGAACAGCAAAAAGUACACUCACCUCACCGUAUGAAUCCUGCACAAAUAUUGAAAAUAAGGUUUGUUUCACCAAUAACUAACAAUAUACUCCAGAUUAUAAUGGCAAAGUAAGAGAUUUUGUAUUAUAAACAUCACUUUCUACAUUCUAAUUUUGGGGAUGGGGUCUUACUAAUGGUAAUGGAUGAAAAAUAUGUGGAUCGAGUUCUGUUUCAUAUGUUGUGUUGAGCUCUAUUACUAGGAUACAGAAGUGGCUGGCACAUUUUCAGGAUGCCUUUUAUCUCCCUGCCAAAGCAGUACCUAUUUAUCUACUCACAUUGUUGUUUUCAAACUGCUAGGUAAGCAGAAGCUGGGGCUGACAGCGGAAGUUCACCUCAACCCACAGCUUGAACUGCCAACCUUCCGGCCAGCAAGAUCUUCUGUAGCUGGCCAGUUCUUUUCCGCUGUGAAGAAGAAUGGAAAAAUAAUAUAUGAAGACCAGGAGACAAUGUGAGAAGACAUAAGAAGAUACAACCAAUGCACUUAAAAUUAACAUUGUUAGAAUCCUCAAUACUUUAUGAAAUAUGUGUUAAAGGAGUAGAGACAAAGUCUUAGUUGUAACAAUGAUAAUUUUGUAAAAGAACUCAUAUCUCAGUGACCCUACCUUCUUUGUUUUCUCCUUGCGACAUAUUAGACAUUUGUAAAGAUGCAACUAAUAAUAAUGUUAUCCUCAAUUUUUUCCUUCCCUUGUCCCCCACCCCUAACUCUCCAAGUAAAUGUUUAAUAAAAACUAUUAAAAAUAUUCUAGGCAAAAUAUAUUUGAAUGUGCUCUCCAAAAUUGAAAAAUUGAGAUUUGUGUGUCUCUUCAUGUAAAAACAAGAAGUCUUGCAGCGCCUUAAACUUUAAAAAAUGACAAAAGCUUUCAUUGCUCCUAUUCAAACCACAAGAUAAAGAGCUAAAUCUUUGGAUGAAUUCUAGUCCAGCUGUUCUAUGCGGGACUCUGUCUUUGAAGUGUUUUUAUGUAAGAAGGACCCUCUUUAAGUCAAGAGAAAGAAAGUAACAGGAUUCCUGCAGUUUAUUUAGAAAUUCCAAAGGUUAUGAUCUUUCAAAGAGUCCUGCCAUUCCAGCUGUACUGUUUAUGCAAGAAACUGGGAAACUGCACAUAAAAAUUGGUGGUUGUUUGCCAUCAAGUCAAUUUUGACUUUUGGUGACCUCAUAAAUGAGAGAUCACCAAUAGAUCUGCUUUGGUCUUGCAGACUCGGGGUUGUGGUUUCCUUCUUUGUGCCUCUCCAGCUGUAAUUUAGUCUCCUUUUUUCCUACUGCCUUCCACUUUGGCUGAGCGAAGGAAGACGCUUUUGAACUUUGGUGCUGGAGAAAAAUCUUGAGAGUGCCUUGGACCGCAAGAAGAUCCAACCAGUCCAUCCUCCAGAAAAUAAUGCCCAGCUGCUCACUGGAGGGAAGGAUAUUAUAGGCAAAGAUGAAGUACUCUGGCCACAUCAUGAGAGACAGGAAAGCUUGGAGAAGAUCAUGAUGCUGGGGAAAAUGGUAGGAAAAAGGAAGAGAGGUUGACCAAGGGCAAGAUGGAUGGAUGGUAUCCUUGAAGUGACUGGCCUGACCUUGAAGAAACUGGGGGCAGCGAUGGCUGACAGGAAGCUCUGGCGUGGACUGGUCCAUGAGGUCACAAAGACUUGGAAGCGACUGAACGAAUAACCAACAGGAAAUCAUGUUGUCUCAUAUGUCCAAAGUACAACAGUCCCCAUUAAGUUAUCUUGGCUUCUAAGGAGAGUU